AUAAGGCUCUGGCGACGGUCAAACGUUUCAAAACUAUAUUUAGUUAAAAUUACAGAGCAUGACAGCAAUGCAGGAGAAAUAAAUGAUUCGUUUCUCACUUAAUUACCGCUUAUUAACAUUAUUUCGGUUGCCGAUGUUUAUAAGAAUCGAAAAAAUCCAGUGAAAUCGACCCUUGUGUCCUUCCGCCGAGUACCCACGAUAGCUUCCGAGACGGUCAAGAGGAAAAAUCCUCUUGUGACGUCACAAGAGGACAGGAAGUGUCUGUGGUCAUUGCUAGGAUAGUGAUCGGUGUGUUUCGUUAGUUGGAUUUGUGAUCUCCAAAAUCAUUAACAAUCAAGAUUGCCAUGAGUAAUGUUCAAUUUUACCAAUUUCAACCACUUUUAUCAACUCACAAUCGACUGCACAUCCUCGGCGGAGGAGGAAAAUGUUGCAGCAGUCGAAGCACAAAGCAGUUUCAGACUGGUGCAUUUGUGAGGAAUGGCCACAACAAAAAGAUGAAGAAAGAAAAUCUUGCCUUAUUAUGCACAAAUUAAAAAUAAUGUAGAGGAGGACCAGACGUGCAUUACCAGCCAUGAAG
This is a long non-coding RNA of Pomacea canaliculata, 577 nucleotides long. RefSeq lists it as uncharacterized. The transcript has 2 exons. Lineage: Eukaryota; Metazoa; Mollusca; Gastropoda; Architaenioglossa; Ampullariidae. The record is from RefSeq and is a predicted model, not a curated record.